GGGGGCAGAAGAGGAUAAAUUUCAGCUGUUCUCAGCCCUGCUGCAUCUUUCCCAAAGACCUCCGACAGCAGCAUGAAUUGGGGAGGCUUCCUCCUCCUUGUGACCCUAGUUGCCCUCAGCUCAGAGGUACAGGAGCUUCAGGCUGCCAUGAGACCCUUGAAACUUCUGGGCACCUGCGUUGAGCUCUGCAGUGGUGACUGGGACUGUGGUCCAGAGGAGCACUGCGUCAGGAAUGGUUGUGGCCACGAAUGUGUCUCGGACUAAGGACAGAUGAAGACAUCCUAAGGGCCAUCCUUCUCUAAUAG
Aethalodelphis obliquidens (Pacific white-sided dolphin) is the source of this 305-nucleotide long non-coding RNA. RefSeq lists it as uncharacterized. Lineage: Eukaryota; Metazoa; Chordata; Mammalia; Artiodactyla; Delphinidae. The record is from RefSeq and is a predicted model, not a curated record. The transcript is spliced from 3 exons.